Molecule: ribosomal RNA, 277 nt
Filed under: uncultured prokaryote
Description: partial 16S ribosomal RNA
Rfam family: Bacterial small subunit ribosomal RNA
Source: RNAcentral
UACGUAGGUGGCAAGCGUUGUCCGGAUUUAUUGGGUUUAAAGGGUGCGUAGGCGGUUAUUUAAGUCAGUGGUGAAAGUUUUCGGCUCAACCGGAAAUUGCCAUUGAUACUGGGUAGCUAGAAUAUGGUUGCUGUGAGUGGAAUUUCCUGUGUAGCGGUGAAAUGCGUAGAUAUAGGAAGGAACACCAGUGGCGAAGGCGGCUACCUGGACCAACACUGACACUGAGGUGCGAAAGCGUGGGGAGCAAACAGGAUUAGAUACCCCGGUAGUCCCUGAG